Molecule: ribosomal RNA, 355 nt
Filed under: uncultured bacterium
Lineage: Bacteria
Description: bacterial SSU rRNA
Rfam family: Bacterial small subunit ribosomal RNA
Source: RNAcentral
AACGAACGCUGGCGGCAGGCUUAAUACAUGCAAGUCGAACGGGCGCAGCAAUGCGUCAGUGGCAGACGGGUGAGUAACACGUGGGAACCUUCCUCGUUGUACGGAACAACUCAGGGAAACUUGAGCUAAUACCGUAUAAGUCCGAGAGGAGAAAGAUUUAUCGCAAUGAGACGGGCCCGCGUCGGAUAGGUAGUUGGUGAGGUAACGGCUCACCAAGCCAACGAUCCGUAGCNGAUCUGAGAGGAUGAUCAGCCACACUGGGACGUGAGACACGGCCCACGACUCCUACGGGAGGGCAGCAGUAGGGAAUCUUGGACAAUGGGCGCAAGCCUCGAUCCAGCCAUGCCGCGUGAGU